CAAGGAAUUUUCGGCAAUGGGCGCAAGCCUGACCGAGCAACGCCGCGUGGAGGAUGACGGCUUUCGGGUUGUAAACUCCUUUUCGGGGGAAUGACCACCGACAGUACCCCCGGAAUAAGCCCCGGCUAACUCUGUGCCAGCAGCCGCGGUAAGACAGAGGGGGCAAGCGUUGUCCGGAAUCACUGGGCGUAAAGCGCACGCAGGCGGCACGGUAAGUGGUGUGUGACAGCGGACGGCUUAACCGUCCGAGGCCAUGCCAGACUGCCGCGCUUGAGCCGUGCAGAGGUCAGCGGAAUUGCCGGUGUAGGAGUGACAUCCGUAGAGACCGGCAGGAACACCGAAGGGGAAGCCAGCUGACUGGGCACGUGCUGACGCUCAGGUGCGAUAGCGUGGGGAGCAAACC
This 403-nucleotide ribosomal RNA is filed under the name uncultured bacterium. Its description in RNAcentral is "partial 16S ribosomal RNA". It matches the Rfam family "Bacterial small subunit ribosomal RNA", at positions 355 to 774 of the family's 1533-position model. The record is from RNAcentral.